Unclassified non-coding RNA from Erinaceus europaeus (western European hedgehog), 330 nucleotides. Its record names the gene 7SK. It matches the Rfam family "7SK RNA". From Rfam's summary of the family: 7SK was discovered as an abundant small nuclear RNA in the mid-70s but a possible function has only recently been suggested. Two independent studies have found that 7SK RNA binds the CDK9/cyclin T complex (known as elongation factor P-TEFb). The record is from Ensembl. NCBI's taxonomy places the organism in Eukaryota, Metazoa, Chordata, Mammalia, Eulipotyphla, Erinaceidae.
GAAUGUGAGGGCGAUCUGGCUGUGACAUGUCACCCUACUGAUUUCCAGGGUUAAUUCGGCUUAUUUGGCUGGCUAGGUGGGUUUCCCCUUCCUCCUUCACUGCUCCACAUGUGUACCUCCCAAACCUGCAUGCUUGGUUGAAGAGUUUGGCCUUCCCUGAAUAGAGACAAACCCGUCAUUGGUUGAGGGUAUACCAGUAGCUGUGCUCCCCUGCUAGAACUUCCAAACAAACUCUCAAGGUCCAUUUGUAGGAGAACGUAGGGUAGUCAAGCUUCCAAGACUCCAGACACAUCCAAAUGAGGCAAUGCUAUUGUCAGUCUGCCUUUCUUU